UUAAUUCAAGUUAAAAUUUGAAUUUUGAAUUUGACUAUAUGUUUAUAUUGAGAUUCUAGUAAAUAAUUCAUUUUGAAGUUGAGGGGGGUCUCCAUACAUUUUAAUAUUAAAUUUUAUUUUCAUAUUAUGUAAAAUAUUAUAAUGUACUGAUAGAUCAAGAUCAAGUGUACCUAAUAAUUUUCAUAGAUAUCUUUCGGAGGUGUAGAGUUACUAUACUAUCGGAAGCAUAGAGAAGUUGAUGCUUCCGACUUUUUGACUAUUGGAUUAAUAAUUAUACAGUUGGGAUGAUUGCAAUCCUUCCUAGGAUUGAGUAGUACCCCUAGGGUUGAGUGGUCCCUACAAAAUAAUAGUAUUAAUCCAAAGGUUAGAAAUGAUCAAAAGGAUUGAUCUAAGAGCCAAAAAGUCGGAAGCACCGGAUCCUCUAUACUUCCGAUAGUAUAAUAGCUCUACUGAUCCUCUCAGAGAUACUAAUCAUGAAUUUUUUGGGGAAAAAAAAAACAUUAAGACUUUGAAACUUAUAUAACCCUAAACCCUGAACACUAAACCCUAAACCAUAAAUGUUAGAAACUAUUUUGAAAUUUUCUAGAAAGUUACAAAUCUAUAUGAAAAUUUCUGCACAAAAGAUGAAAAAAAUGCUUCUUGAAAUAAACAAGAUAAACAUAUAUUGUAAGUGCAUCUCUUUUGAAAUAAACAUAUAUUUAAUUUUUUUUAAAAUAAUUUUACUGCCUAAUCAAUUUGAUCACAUAUUUAUUAUUUAGUAAAACAAAAGCUAAUUUCUUUUUCAAAUGCAAAAGAAAGACAAAAAUUAAUAUUUAAAAAUAAGUUUUUCGGUAAUUAACGAUGGAUACUUAGGCUUCGUUUCGUUUGGAAUAUUUAAAAAUAAGUUUUUCGGUAAUUAACGAUGGAUGCUUAGGCUUCGUUUGGGAUAUUUAAAAAUAAGUUUUUCAGUAAUUAACGAUGGAUGCUUAGGCUCCGUUUGGAAUUGCGAGGAGAUUGUGUUACGUACGGUGAGAAAGUUGGGAAAAUACUCAGCAUAUUCCUAUAUGCUUUUUUCCUAACUCUAUUUUAUCUAACAAAUAGAGUUCAAUACCAAACUAAACCUGUGGAAUAACCCCUUAACCCCCAUUUUAUCCCCAAACACUUCUAAAAAUGGGUGGGGUUAGCUAACCCCACCUCAAAUGGGUUAUCUCACUAACCCCACCUAACCCCACCAAACCCCAACCAAAUACUAUUUUCUAUUCAUAAUAACCCACUAUCCUUCUUAUCCCACCUACUCCAACAAAACACUAUUUUUCACUAUUCUGGACUAACUCCAACCCCCAACCAAACACAAAAAUACUCUAACCCCACCUUAACCCUAAACUUAACCCUAUCCCUGAAAUAACUAGUUUUUCCUUAACCCCGAACCAAACGGUAGCUGGAAGCAUCCCAAACGAAAUAGUCUACACUCAAGCUUCGAAGCAUCAAAAAAAAUAAAGAUACUAUAUGAUGCAAUUUAUCCUUCAAUAGAUCAUUGAUUUGAGACACUCUACACAACAAUACGCUUUUAAUGAGAUUUUCUUAUAGUGACUCACCCGUUCUUAUCGCAGCAGAUGCGUAACAGCGUGCGGGUAUCUGCAGCGACGGCCGCGAGGAGCUUCGCCCUCUGGAGUUCGUCGCAGGCGUUGAUGAACCUCUCGAGAACGCGAAAGUCGUGCCUAUCCAGGAUCAGGUUCUUUACUUCGUUGAGCACCGUCGGAAAGAAGACUGCGACGUAUUUGUAGUCCCCAUGCAGCAGACUCAGAUUCAAGAACUGUAUCGUCUGCGCCGGAAUUCGGUGCAGCCUGCUGUCGGAGGUGGCCGUACGCAGCGGCGCGAAUUGUCGACGAUGGUGGGAAUCGGCAUUAAUGGCAGCGAAGGCCGUAGACAGCGGCGCGAAUUGUCGAGGAUGGUAGGAAUCGGCAUUGGCGGGGAAAGGAUGUGGGGAGGGGGAGGGGUGGUGGUUUGGGGGGAGUGGCGAAGAGGGGGGAGAGAGGAAGAGAUCGUCGGGCAAGAAGAAGGAACAAUUGCAGGAGGACGAGGAGGCAGGAGACGACGUCGAGAGGCUGAGGCCCGAGAAAUUGUUGCCAGCCGGUCCAAGUCGCCGGCUGUGGGGUUGAUGCGGUCCAUGGCCAAGCUCCGAGUGACUUACGUAGAGAAGUAGUACAUGCAUAACAUAUAUAUAUAUAUAUAUAUAUUAAUUAUAUAUAUAUAUAUAUAUAUAAUAUAUAAUAUAUAUAUAAUUGAAGGUCUUAAAUAAGUUUUUUUUUUUUUUUUUUUUUUUUUUUUUUCUUCUCGGAGAAGAAGAGAGUAGAACUAGGAGUAUGUGAAACAAAGAUGAUAUGAUAUAUAUAUAUAUAUAGAGAGAGAGAACGACGAAAUUCUCUAGAAAUCUGUUAGGAUUCGAGUUGGGCAUGAAACAAAUAUUUUUAUUUAUCUAUAAAAUACUUAAGUUGUCAGCAAACCGGAUUGCAAAAUUAUAUAUUUAUCUAACAUAGAGAUUAUUUAAUCUUUAGAAAAUAUAUAAAUGAUUUUAAUCCAAACGGAAGGUUUAGAUGGAUAUAAUUUAAUCCAUUCAUUUAAUUUGCUUGUUAUUGGUUAAAUAAAAAUUAUUAUUUUUAAUUAUAUAUAUAUAUAAUAUAUUAUAUAACGGUGUAAUCCAAAGAAUCUUUGAUUUUCUUGUUCUUUUUCUUUUUCUUUUUCUUUCUUUGGCUUCUUAAGGAGUAGCAAAGGCAAUUUAUUUUAAUCCAAAAAAUAAUUUUAAAUAUUGUUAUGUACUUAGAGGAGCCGGCCACCGGACGAGGGGAAUUAUGUCAAGUAUUUGUGAUAGACUAAUAGAAAUUAAGUUCUGAUUAAUACACGCUUUAUUAACUAGAUACUGUAAACUUAUAAAUUUACGCAUCCAAACAAAUAAGAUAAGACCGAAAUACUUGCCUUAUAUAUACUUAUAUAUAUAUAGAGAGAGAGAGAGAGAGAGUUGAGCCGGAUAGUGUAGCAAACGGACUCCGUUGCUAUCCAUUUGUUUUCGAUGAUAGAACUUUCAAAUCGACGAUUGGCACCAUUAAUUGAACAUGAUCUAUAAUACUUAAAACAUAUAGAAACUAAAUUUCAAAUCUUUUUGAAAUUAUUGACCUAAUGAUCAAAGUAUUUCAAAAUUUAUAAUUUUAAUGGUAGAUAUGAGACGUUUUCUCGUUUAACGAUUUAGAAAAUUUUGGUUAAAUUUUUUUUUAAACUAUUUAGAAAUUUAUACUCUUGAUCUUGAUUAAAAAUUUUCUAUCAUCUCUUUUUAAAAAAUAUUUAAUUUCAGCUAUUCAUUUUUAUAUCAACUUGAUGGACAAGAGAAUAAUAUCAAAAAAACAUAAAAUUUGAUUUUUAGAUACUUCAAGCGGUAUAAAUUAUGUUCAACGAUACCGAUCGUCGAUUUAAAGAUUUCAGCAUCAAAAGCAAAUGGAUAGUAACGAAACCCGUUUGGUACCGAUACCAUUUUAGCUCAACUCUAUAUGUAUAUAUUAUCAUACGUCCAACUUUUAUUGCUGCACCUGUAAUAUGGUUGGGUCUGUAAGGAUUCAACAAACCCCUAGAAAUUAUUCUGUGGACCUGGUCUACGUAUCAACACCACAUAAUCCGAGCAAUGCAAUCUGUACACUCCUAAAUUACAUAUACAAUGUACACUCCAUUCAUCCAAAGGCCCGUUUUCUUUCUCUACUAUUAUCAUCUAAAAUUUAUUUGGAUAUUUAUAAACCUUAAGAUUAAAAAGAUUUACGAUUUAUAUCAAUCUAUAUAGAUAUACGAACAGCAUUUUUCCUGCUUAUAAAUUAUAUACCAAGUUACUAAGGAGACGAUAAAGAGAUAUUAGCAUAAGUAAAAUCUUAUAAAAUUUUUGGCCCUGUUUGGAUGAUGAUAUCAGUUUGUACUUGAUAAAUAAUGAGUAUAAUAUAAUCAAACAUAAAAAAAAAACAUAUCAUAUUUAACCUUGCAGACAGAAUGAAAUAAAUUACUUCAUAAGUAAAAUAUGUUAUUUUAUUAAAUCACAAAUGUUACGAGCUUUAAAAAGCCAGUUUGCAAUCGCAGAUAUAAGACUUCUCAAAAUGGAAUGUUUUAAGUUGGUAUGAUGUGCAUUUUGUACACCUGGUCCAACCAAUCUUUUCUAGUUGGCAUGGUGCAACAACCCCAAAUUAAUAAUCACUAGACCAUCACCAACUUAUAAAGCUCACAUUUUUCUCUUCUUUUAGACUGCAAAGUUUGUAGUUUUAAAGUAUCUGCAGCUGCUUCUAGUUUCUGAGUCUUAAGCCACUGUUAUGGAAGCUCAUCAAAUCUAUACCCUCUCUCAAAUUUCCUCUCACAACGGUGUGAAUGAUUGCUGGGUCGCCAUAGGUGGCAAGGUCCUCUCUCUCUCCUCUCACUCUCUUUCUUUUUUUUUUCUUUUUUUCUUUUUUUUUUUUGGUCUAUGUUUUGAGUAUAUGUAAUGUUAUACAUGUCAGGUUAGUUUAAGUAGAUGAAAGUGUUUACAUAAUUUUAAGUAAAGAGACAAAUAUAAGAUAACUUUUUCAUUAAAUGGCCAAGUUUGAUUUUUGGUUUCGACCAACAAAACAAUUGAUAUGGCCAUUUUAUAGAAAUUUCUCUCUCUCGAGUCUCGUAGGAACCUAAGAUUGAUUGUUUUGCUAGUAAUUUAUACAAAAAUAAAUAAAUAAAUAAAUAAACAACUCAGUGGAUGAAAUUAAUAAAUUUAUUAUUAAUUUUAUGUACGUGGUGCGAGUAUUACAGAAAAGAAUUCUUCAUGAUUUGCAUAUGUUUGUAGGUGAUUGAUGUAACCAACUUCUUGCAAGAACACCCGGGAGGCGACGUGCUGCUGCUGGAGGUCGCGGGGAAAGACGCCACGCAGGACUUCAAGGCGAUCGGGCACAGCAAGGGCGCGAAGAGCCUCCUCCUCAGAUACCAAGUCGGAGUCGUGGAAGGGUUCGAGGCGAAGGCGGAGGAGGAUGUGGCUGCUGCUUCGAAGGAUCGCGACGUAGCAGAAGAGACUGCGACUGGUAAAGCGACUCAGACGAUGACCGGGUUUCCGAUUGAGGAUGGCGACGACAAAAGCAACAGCCAUGGUAGAGAGUUUGGGCUCAUACAAUUCCUUGUGCCUCUUCUUAUUGCCUGCUUAGUGUUCUGGUACAGAUGCUCUUCUACCAUAACAGAAAUGUUUAGUUGAAGUUAAAUGUGUAAUAAAAAACUUAAGAAUAGUUCCUGCACUAUCCAGUAUUGCGAUUUGGUCCUCGACCGCCAAAAAGAUAAAUUAUUGAUCUAAUCAAAUUGAAAUGAAAGACGGUUUUCAAAGAAAUAUUACGAUUUUGUUUUCGUCAGAGAUUGGAAUACAGUUUAUGUGAAAUGUAAAGAGUACAGGGACCAAGUCGCAAUAUCAAGAUAGUACAGGGACUAUUCAUACAUUUUAUAAUUUUCCAUCACAUAGUAACUAGCAGGGAAUAACAGAUCCAUAGAUGCAGUACAUCACCUGUUACAAUAAACAAUACUGCUGCACAGUAAGGACAACCUCUUUAUGUUAACAAAAUUUAGAACCAUGCGUAUGCUAUAUUAUCCUUUACAGUAUCAUAAUUACAAUGCUUAAUUUCCUAGUUAUUUUUGUAUUAUAAGUGCAUUUAUAAUAUAAAUAUGUUUUCUUAGCAUGUUACAAGUUUCCUAUGAUUGUUGUGCAAUGUCCCAGAAAGAUUUCAAAAUACUGUUGAACAAAUAGACUAUAGAAGAUUGAGAAACCCCUUAGUUUGAUUCCAGAAACAAUUUUAAAAAACAAAAAGAAGAUUCAGAAACCGCCGGCUAGGGAUUUGUUAGUUUUACCGGUUGGUUCGACCCUCGAAUGAGUUUGCUUCAAUCAUAUGGUAUCUGGAAUAUUACCUAUCUUGGUACAAAGAGAAAUAAAGGGCCCAAAAAAAAAAAAAAGAAAAUAGUGUAACUCUCUGAUUAUAGUAUGGAAAUGACAUGAAUUGUGAAGAGCACAGUAACAUAUAGAUCAACAAAAUUCCAAACCACUUGGAACUCGAGGUUUCUGAGAAUCAAGCACAGCAAAUUUUACAACAGUGAGAAACUAAAAAGCAACAACACAUGAAAGAAUUGUGAACUCGCGCGCUUAUCAUGCAUUCUUCAGAUGUUAUUCUCACAAAAAAGGAGAUUAUAUAUUGCAGAUAAUAGCAGGAAAGCAUAUAGUUUUUUUUUUUUGUUUUUUUAAGUCUGUAUCUUGUACAUCUCAGAGAAGUGAUACAACUAAAAGAACACCCAACUUGCCCUUGAAACUAAAAUAGAAUCCUCACAAGCAUAAAGCCAAAACCAGCCAAAAAGUUCAAUAUUACAUAUUCCGUAAUGAUGAACACGACGAUCCCGGUUCCCUUUCGUUAGAUUGCAAUUCUAUGCUACAAAGACACCAUAGUACAUUAACACGCCGGUAUGUUGAAUAUCAACUUACUGCAAUGUAUGUUAAAACAAGAACUUAAAUGAUCGAAAUUAGUUGCCACAACUGUCGCGUACACAUGAUGGCGGUCAUAUGACAGCUCGACAGUAUGGGCAAUCUCCGCAAUUGAGCAACCAUGGCACUAAACAAUCUGGAUGAAACCUAUGGCCACACCACAGCCUCAUGAGCUCAACGCCCUCUUUAAAUCUCUCCAGACAUAUAGAACACUCCAGUGAUGCCCUAAUGGAUUCAUCAUCCUCCUCUACAUGUCGAAAAACUUCAUGUUUUAGGGCAUUGAGAGCUUCCUUGCUUAGUCCAGGGGGUCUCCUGUUGUUAAAAUUGCGAACAGAGAAGGCUUCCUCUGAUUCAAUAGUGAAGUUGGAAAAUGGCGAACCAGAUUCAUACCACUCUGCUGGAGCCUCAGUUUCUCGAUUUCCAAUGCUAACAACCCUAAAAACACCACUGAUUGCGAAUUCAUCCCAUGAUAUACCAGAAACUGCAGUGUUUUGCCUGGCAAAAGAUUUAGAGAAGAAUUGUUAGCAUGAUGUAUGAUACUAAGCGUACAUAUAAUAUGUGUUGUUAAGCUGACGACUGAUCAAUGGAUAGACUGAUCAGAGGGCCUCAAUGUCCUAAUAAAAUUCCAAUUUGGUCCUCAGCUUCUCAAUUUUUACAGCUGAGUCCCUGCCAUCUGAAUCCGGUAACAAUCACGAUCAUCAGUGCCCUGUACAACUUCACCAUGCAAGUAAGAUACACCCUACUUGAUAGAGGAGCCCAACAGUCACAUGGCAGGUAAUGGCGAUUAGACAAACAUCUGUCUCCAUUUAACAGAGAUAUUCAACAAGAUGGCUAAAACUGCAGCAAGAGACAUGGUAAGGUACCUAACAGUAAAAUAAUAAAAGUUUCGAGGACUGAACUGAAAGUUUGUUAAACGGUUCAGAACCCAAUGUGCAAUACCCAUUAUCCACUAAUCCAAAUUAAUAAGCAUGUCGUCAGCUAAUAUAGAAGAGAAAAGACCUGCUUUCUGUGAGGGAAAUGCCCCUUAGUCUUUCUAUAAGCCGUUCUCGUGCCUGUACCACGGCACCAGGAAGUCUCUCACUUCUGAUUAAUCGCAACCUGUCGAUCCCACUUGUAGUUCCAUCAAUGCCAUCAUUUCCUCCAGUAGAAUCACUAGCAGUAAUGGCGUCCAAUUGAAUUGAUUCGAGUUCCUAAAGAUAAUAGAGCCAAGAUGAGCGGACUCAAUGCAAAAAUUAUUAAAUGACGAAAAUAGCAUAUAUAAAUAUGUGUAGUCGAUUCAAAUUAGUCAGAAUAAACGAACAAAAUGAAGCACAGCUGACAGAUCUCAAAAUCAUAUUUAGUCCAUUUGCAUCUAAUUGAUUUGCAGAACAGGACUUAUGCUGCAAUACAUAGAAAGCUCCAAAGUAAAAAUGAAAAAUUGGAUACAUUAAUUCUGUUGAAUGGUGAACAAGCUAUGGUCUAUUUGGAGAGCUUAGCAUUUGUUUUUUUUUUUUAAACUAAAUGAUAUACAAGAUUCUCCAAAGAAGAAAAAAGGGAAUAAGAAAAAAACUAAAAAGUUGGUGACAAAAGAAGAAGGAACAUGCAAGAAGCAAACUAUGUAGACAAACAUUUGCAUUUCUAUGCUGUUGGGGAACUCGUAGUAAUUUAGUAAAUGUAAGGAAAGGAGUGAUAGUUUGCUGUAAACAAAGGUAAACGUUGUCAUCUCUUUCAAUUUUAGAUUUACAAGUUGAUGAAAGAAAUAUUUAGUUAAGGUGAUAUGUUUACUUCUCAGCAUAAUAUUAGCCAAUUCAACGUUUGGUUCUCAGUUUAUCUGGACCAAACAAUAAGAAAUUUGAGUACCAUACAAGAUAUUCCAUAUGCUAACAAACAAGUUAAAAUGCGUUUUCCUUUUGUUGGCUCUCACAGCCAUGUAAUACAUCCACUAAAGGAAUGAAACCUUUGAUAUAGAAACACAGAACACUAGAAGAUGCGGCACAAUGUCCGCUAUGAAUCCAGUUGAUAGGAAAGCUCUACGAGCGAAGGAUGUUUCCAAACUAUCAGAUUUGUAUACAACCAAGCAAUUGAAUACAUAAGCACAUUCAAGUGAAUAUAAAACAAUGUUUACUGUGUUUCUCACAUAAUUAUUAUCAACUAAAGACUUCAAACAGUAGCUUACAAGGCUAGAAAAGAAACACCAUUUUAAAAUGGCAAAUCUAGUCAUUUAAAGUGACUACACCAUUGAUCUCAUUUUAUCACUCCUCAAAUUACAAAAGAGGAACUCUAGAUGAGUCAAAAAUAAAUUUUUUCUCUCACUAUAGGAUGCAGUAGUAAUGUAUAUUUAUUUAUUUACGUAGUUCAUUAGCAACUACAGGGCAAAAAGGAAAAGAAGGAAACUGCAACCACAAGCUACUUAACCAAAAAGAACGACUUUGAAGAACAUCUUUAAAAAACAAUAAAAAAAAUUAAGUAGCAUAAUGUAGGGGAAAAAAAUUUAUAAAAAAAAUGUUGAAGAGUACGAAGACAAAAGAAAACUACAUAAAGUGUGUGGUUCUACUUGAAAGUUAGCGUCUUUAUUGAUCCUACAAACAAAUCUCUCGAAUAUUCGCGAACAAUCUAGAGCUUUAGAGGCACGUAGAAUCAACGGGCUAGGGUUUUUAGGGUUUGGGUGGGGGGAUCGAUCGGUCCCCGUACUACUUACGAUCUGGGAGGCGCGAUGAUGGCACGGGUGGCGGCGGGGCGGGGCCUGCGCCUGGUGGCCGCCGAGGUCGCGGCGGCGGAGGCGGCGGCGGCGGCGGAGGCGGAGGCGGCGGAGAUCGGCGUCGCGAUCGGAGGGGAAGGGGCUGGGGGCCGAGGGUUCUGGACCCGGAUCCGGGUCGGAGAUGCGUCCCCCGCGAGAUCUCCAGUUGUAGAAAAGCUCAGAGGCGCUCGUCAUGGAUCCGACCUUCGUCUUCCUCGUCGUCCUCGUCUUCGUGUUCUUCGUGUUCUUAUUUCCUCCUCUUCCUCCUUUUAUACGGAGGACGAUGAUCUCACAAGCAAAUGGUUUUGUGAGAUUUGAUGGAUUUUUUUUUUUUUCCUUUUUCUUUUUUAGUUUUUAAUGGAGGAGGGGAGAAACGCUACGCGACGACGACCGCUGGAGAAGGAAAAUUACUCACUGUACCCGGCGUAUAAGUACAUCCCCUGCACCGAAGACGAAAAUAUUUUGUGUGUUGAAAUGAUAAAGAUUUUGAUGGUUGGUAUCCAAUUUGCCUCAUUCAAAAAUUAGGGGCUCUCAAAAAAGUGUGAAAAUAAAUAUUUCGAGUUUAGUUUUCCGUUAGUUCAGUUCUAAAAAAAUAAAUAUUUAUUAAAAAAAUAAUAUUUACAAAUAAAUAUAUACUGAUUUUUCAUUAAAUAAAUAAAAUUUAAAAUUUAUAUUUUCAGUUAAAAUUUUAUCUCUAAAAUAAAAAAUAUACUAAGUAUAAGUAGAUAGAUAGUAUGCUACUUUUUCUCUUAUCGAUAAUCAAAAUCGUUAAAGUCGAUUUGGAGUAUUUAAAGCGUCUUAAAAUUAAAUUUUAUAAACUUCAAAAAUAAUUUAUGUAGCGAUCUAAUAGUUGGUAACAUGAUAUAUUCUGAUAUAUUCAAAUCAAUAAGUUAGUAAUCCAAUAGGAGAUAACAUUUAGUCGUAACAGUUAUCUAGAUAUAUUCAAAUUAGUCGAGUUAGUAAUCCAUAACGUAUAUAUUGAGAUAUAUUCAAAUCUAUCUAGUAAUCCAAUAAGGGAUAAUAUAAUAAUU
RNAcentral lists this long non-coding RNA (10225 nucleotides) under Ananas comosus (pineapple). Its description in RNAcentral is "long non-coding RNA (ACOM_LNC022984)". Lineage: Eukaryota; Viridiplantae; Streptophyta; Magnoliopsida; Poales; Bromeliaceae. The record is from RNAcentral.